This is a long non-coding RNA of Hippocampus zosterae (dwarf seahorse), 1206 nucleotides long. RefSeq lists it as uncharacterized. NCBI's taxonomy places the organism in Eukaryota, Metazoa, Chordata, Actinopteri, Syngnathiformes, Syngnathidae. The record is from RefSeq and is a predicted model, not a curated record. The transcript has 3 exons.
UUGUGAUCCACAAUGGUGGAUUCCCAAAAAUAAACAACAACCAAAAAAUCCACUGUGGUAUAAUAUUGUACGAGAUAAAAUCAUAAAAGAAUCUAAUAAUUAAAUAGAAUGUAAAGAAUUAAACAAUGUAUGCCUCUUGACUAAGCGCUGCAAUCCAAUUCAUUGUGCUUCCCCUUCAUGUGUGCCUGCCUUGGCCACCAGGAGGCAGUCACGUACAAUACAGUCGUGUACACACAAAAGAAGACCAGACCUCUCCUUCUGCUACUAGUACUUCGUCUCAGGUUUUUCGACAAGAGCAUGCAAGUGGAAGGAGACGUCGCAGCCCUCCAUCGGAGCACGGGGUGCACACCACCACGCUUGACGGCCGGAGGAAAUGACUUUUUCCCUCCGGCUUUGGAGAGCCACAAACAAGAUGACGCUGCAGGCCCCAUUUCAGAUAGUCUUAAAGAGGCCCCGCUUGUCUAUGAAUAUGGAGAUGAGGAUUUAGCAGGGAGGCAAACGUUCAAGAGUGGGAGAGAUCAGAGAGGGGGUUUAAAAAAAAAAAGAUUUGCCGUCUCCGAGGUGCUUUUUCUUGCCUGCUUGUGCAGCUCUGGGCUGGAUUUAAAGGAGGCGUUUGUGGGUGUUUGUGUGGCCCACAUGAGAGCAACUAUGACGCCGCCACCGGCGACAGGUCGGAGAGUAAUUACACACGGGCUCACACAAGCCUGCGGACACAAAAAAAAAAUGAAAACACACCUUUUUUUUCCCCCCCUAAAAGAUCCGCCAUGUGCAUCCAUUUUCUUCCUUACUUUCACCCCACCAAACACUCGGUGUGCUCUGAAAUCAAUACGAUUAUUUAUAUCAUAGCAUCAUAUGCUUGGUUGACAUUGUUGAGUGAAAGUCACGCGGCUUUCCGUCCACGCGCCGCGGUGACUAAGCAGGCAGUCGAAAUGAGGGAUGACACUCCCAGGUGAAAAUAUUUCACAAGACGAGUUUGACACCUUUGUAGGCUUUGUGACCAUUUGUCAUUCACGAGGCGACGGUGAUUAAAUGAACUCGGAGGUGUUGUUUUGUGGUAACUCUUGUACGCAUGCGUGACUAAAGAAAUAAAAAAUACAUUUCAGAUCUCACAUUUUACAUUAAAAAAAAAUUACAUAUUAUUUCAAUAUGCAAUAUCAUUUCAUUAUUUAAAUUUUAUUUUACGAUCAAUUUUGCAGCGACCGGCCA